RNAcentral lists this ribosomal RNA (453 nucleotides) under uncultured bacterium. RNAcentral describes it as "partial 16S ribosomal RNA". It matches the Rfam family "Bacterial small subunit ribosomal RNA", at positions 29 to 507 of the family's 1533-position model. The record is from RNAcentral.
AUGAACGCUGCCAGAAUGCUUAACACCUGCAAGUCUACUUGAACUUCGGUUUGGGUGGCGGACGGGUGAGUAACGCGUAAAGAACUUGCCUCACAGAUAGGGACAACAUUUGGAAACGAAUGCUAAUACCUGAUAUUAUGAUUUUAGGGCAUCCUAGAAUUAUGAAAGCUAUAUGCACUGUGAGAGAGCUUUGCGUCCCAUUAGCUAGUUGGAGAGGUAACGGCUCACCAAGGCGAUGAUGGGUAGCCGGCCUGAGAGGGUGAUCGGCCACAAGGGGACUGAGACACGGCCCUUACUCCUACGGGAGGCAGCAGUGGGGAAUAUUGGACAAUGGACCAAGAGUCUGAUCCAGCAAUUCUGUGUGCACGAUGAAGUUUUUCGGAAUGUAAAGUGCUUUCAGUUGGGAAGAAAAAAAUGACGGUACCAACAGAAGAAGUGACGGCUAAAUACGUG